CGGGACGUGGGAGCCGCGGACGGGCCGGUGGCGGAGGCACCGUGGGGCGACAGAAUUUCCCAGGUCAAAUAUUCUUACGCAUUGUCCCACUGGUGUGUUUUAGCAGUGCUUAAACUGAGACAGCCUGUGCAGCUGAAAGAUGGUGUUACUUCAUUGGAGGACCAGGCUGGCCAGCAGCAGGGAAGUGUGGAGCACCUGAGUGUUCAGUUUAUCCUGCAGCCCUUUAGUAACAGAAUCAGAAGAAAUGUGAGUAGGGAAUUGUAGGUGACAUGCUGACUGACAGGAAAGAGAGAAGCUGAUGGAGAAGAACCCUAAAACACAAGCUGAUCAAGAGCCCUUCAGGAUAGGGUGAAAGAACUGGGACUGUAUUUCUGAAUGCCCUGAAGAGGAGCAGAGCAGAGCUGGAAGAGGUUUGACCCGAUGGCCUGUCUGUCAGCCAUUCAAACGCACUAGUCAAAGGAUUUGAGCAUGACUGCUACAUCUGUGUCAUGAAGUUGUAGCUGCAGUCAGAGCUUGAGCAAGACUUGGUUAUUAUAAAAGCGACUAUCUAAAUUCAUCACAGCUUAACAAUGGGUCAUGCUGAUCUAAGUUGAGGUUGCCCUCAUUCUUGUCUUCGUUCCCUCUGAAGUCCCACGGUCCUGCCUUCCUUUGAGUUUUUAUAGUGGUGCUUGAGCAGUUGUGUAGUCAGCUGUGAUCCUAUGGGAAACUAGUAUUUCUUUUUCUGUAGGUAAAUAUUUUGGCCAGCUUAACUUCCUGAACUGCCUCACUACAGCAAGUACUAGAGCCAUUGCAAAGGAUGGGGCAGGACAGCACUGCUGUAGGCCUGAGAGGGGGUGAGACUGCAGCAGCUUCAAUUUAUUUGUUUAAGUUGCAGUGGAUCUGCGCAGUGAACUAAAAAUCUUCAAUGCAAAAUAUUUUCACUACAGCACAGGAUGUGAGAAAACUGGAAAUCAACCAAAGUACAGAUCAACAUCUGAGUUCUUUUGAGACCUCAAGAAAAUAUUUUAAGUUAAAAGGAAUACAUUUACAAGAGUUUCUACAUUUUUUAAGAGUUCAGCAUUUUUUUCUCUCCAAAGUUACCAGAAAAUAAGGUAGAAAUUUCUUCAACAUGUAAAUAAAGUUAGGAGUAUCUACUAUGGCAGACAUCUCUGUCAGGACAGCUAGAGAAAUACAGAAAUGUGGCCAGCUAGGUAAAUCUCUACUUCUUAAAGGGGAAAAAAAGUUAGGAGUUCCACAAAGGGGGCAAGGACAGAGCCACAGAGACACUGCAGAGCAACACUUGGCACUGGAAAGAGUCAGUCAAGGGGAAAGUAUGAUUUACAGGGUCAUCUCCACAUGACUUUCACUCCCUUCACAAGACUAAAAGGAAACCCUCAAUCUACCCAUAGGGAUUUUGUAUUUUUCAAUCUUGAUUCCAGGAUCAGAACUGGAAGAAAGAAGCUAGCCUGAAAUAACAGAGAUUUUACAUUCACAGUCAGAUCCCAAACCAUAAAGACCACAAGUCAGCCACAAAUAUAAGUUUAAUAACAAUCAUUUGCAUUCUAUAGAAGAGGGAGUGCUUUUAAAAAAAAAAAAAAGAAUAGAGUGCUUUUAAAG
This is a long non-coding RNA of Tyto alba (common barn owl), 1596 nucleotides long. RefSeq lists it as uncharacterized. The record is from RefSeq and is a predicted model, not a curated record. The transcript has 4 exons. Lineage: Eukaryota; Metazoa; Chordata; Aves; Strigiformes; Tytonidae.